RNAcentral lists this ribosomal RNA (252 nucleotides) under uncultured bacterium. RNAcentral describes it as "partial 16S ribosomal RNA". It matches the Rfam family "Bacterial small subunit ribosomal RNA", at positions 525 to 776 of the family's 1533-position model. The record is from RNAcentral.
ACGAACCGAGCGAACGUUGUUCGGAAUCACUGGGCUUAAAGGGCGCGUAGGCGGGCAUCCAAGUCUGUGGUGAAAUCCGGCAGCUUAACUGUCGAACUGCCGUGGAUACUGGGUGUCUCGAGGGAGGUAGGGGCGCGCGGAACUAUUGGUGGAGCGGUGAAAUGCGUUGAUAUCAAUAGGAACUCCGGUGGCGAAGGCGGCGCGCUGGACCUCUUCUGACGCUGAGGCGCGAAAGCCAGGGGAGCAAACGGG